Phalacrocorax carbo (great cormorant) is the source of this 480-nucleotide non-coding RNA. The record is from RefSeq and is a predicted model, not a curated record. NCBI's taxonomy places the organism in Eukaryota, Metazoa, Chordata, Aves, Suliformes, Phalacrocoracidae.
UCUAAGGAAACGAGCAGGUGCUCCUAGGCGGCUCAUCUCCGCGCAGCGCCGAGGAGCCAGGCAGGCGCGGAGCCCCGGCCGCGCUGACCUUCCUGCCCCCGGGCGCGGGCGUGGGGAAAAGGACGCGACGCCGUGGCCAGGCCGGAGGCGGGGGGAAGCCCCAUGGCUCCCGUUUCGGUGGGACGGCGAGAGGGAGCGGGGGAUUGGGAGCGACGAGCGAAGGAGGAGCAGAGCGGCGCAGACAGACACGGGGCGCACGGCAGGGGGCUUACUCCCGACACCUUUCAGACUGCUGAGCCCCCGGAGAGAUAGGCCAGAGUCUUGCUCUACUUGCUUUGUGAAUUCCCAACCAAAUCUGUUUUCAAGAUGAGGAAGCCUGGCCUGUGCUGACCUCGCCAGCUGCUCCUUAGGCAGCCAAAGUCAAAGGCCUGUGUGGUGUUGGGUGGGACUCUGCUCAUCACUCAUGAGGGGAUAAAAAAU